Molecule: ribosomal RNA, 253 nt
Filed under: uncultured bacterium
Lineage: Bacteria
Description: partial 16S ribosomal RNA
Rfam family: Bacterial small subunit ribosomal RNA
Source: RNAcentral
UACGUAGGGUGCAAGCGUUGUCCGGAAUUAUUGGGCGUAAAGAGCUUGUAGGCGGUUUGUCGCGUCUGCUGUGAAAUUUCGGGGCUCAACCCCGAACUUGCAGUGGGUACGGGCAGACUAGAGUGCGGUAGGGGAGAUCGGAAUUCCUGGUGUAGCGGUGAAAUGCGCAGAUAUCAGGAAGAACACCCGUGGCGAAGGCGGCUCUCUGGGACGGUACUGACGCUGAGACGCGAAAGCGUGGGGAGCGAACAGG